GACGAACGCUGGCGGCGUGCUUAACACAUGCAAGUCGAACGGAAAGGCCCUGCUUUUGUGGGGUGCUCGAGUGGCGAACGGGUGAGUAACACGUGUGUAACCUGCCCUUGACUUUGGGAUAACUUAAGGAAACUGGGGCUAAUACCGGACAGGAGCUCCCGCUGCAUUGUGGGGGUUGGAAAGUUUCGGCGGUUGGGGAUGGACUCGCGGCUUAGAAGCUUGUUGGUGGGGUAGUGGCUUACCAAGGCUUGGACGGGUAGCUGGCCUGGGAGGGUGACCGGGUACAUUGGGCUCGGGUAGGGGGCCGUACUCUUACGGGCGGCAUAGGUGGAGAAUAUUGCACGAUGUGCGGAGUCCUGGGAGAGCGACCCCGCGUUCGGGAUGACGGCCUUCGGGAAGGAAAACGAUUUCGUCGGUGACUAGGCGUAGUUGACGUUAAUGGAUAAGAAGGCACCGGCUAAUUACGG
This 467-nucleotide ribosomal RNA is filed under the name uncultured bacterium. RNAcentral describes it as "partial 16S ribosomal RNA". It matches the Rfam family "Bacterial small subunit ribosomal RNA", at positions 28 to 506 of the family's 1533-position model. The record is from RNAcentral.